This 714-nucleotide ribosomal RNA is filed under the name Colletes eardleyi. Its description in RNAcentral is "eukaryotic LSU rRNA". It matches the Rfam family "Eukaryotic large subunit ribosomal RNA", at positions 366 to 810 of the family's 3401-position model. RNAcentral also lists the same sequence under 1 other name. The record is from RNAcentral. Lineage: Eukaryota; Metazoa; Arthropoda; Insecta; Hymenoptera; Colletidae.
GAAAAGAACUUUGAAGAGAGAGUUCAAGAGUACGUGAAACCGUUCAGGGGUAAACCUGAGAAACCCAAAAGAUCGAAUGGGGAGAUUCAUCGACGACGAAGCUGGCUCCCGUUGGCGUGCGAUUCCCCCGUUGGGACCUCGGUUCCAGAACGCGGGGUACACCCCUUCGGCGAAUAACCGGCGACGUAGUCGUGCACUUCUCCCUUAGUAGAACGUCGCGACCCGUUGUGUGUCGGUCUACGGCCUGGGCUAUUUGCCUGUCGCGGUGGCAUUCGUUCGCUCGCGGCAGAGGCUCGGUCGCCCGGCCGGCUGCACGACGGUACUCCGACGGUAUCGGGCCGCAACCAAUCCAUUCUCGAAUGGUAUAUGCGUCCAGGCCCGUCGCAAGCUCGGACAGCACCCGGAGCGUGUGGACGCAGCGCCCUCCCCGGGUCUGGCCAGCUGUUAGCAGACGGUGUCCUCGGACCGGCCAAGCUUCGAAUUACCGGUCAGCGACGCUAUUGCUUUGGGUACUCUCAGGACCCGUCUUGAAACACGGACCAAGGAGUCUAACAUGUGCGCGAGUCAUUGGGACAUUGAAACCUAAAGGCGAAAUGAAAGUGAAAGUCGUCGUAAGCGUCGACCAAGGGAGGAUGGGCCGCGUCACGUCGCGGCCUCGCACUCCCGGGGCGUCUCGUUCUCGUUGAGAAGAGGCGCACCCAGAGCGUACACGUU